Molecule: long non-coding RNA, 1806 nt
Filed under: Manihot esculenta (cassava)
Lineage: Eukaryota; Viridiplantae; Streptophyta; Magnoliopsida; Malpighiales; Euphorbiaceae
Description: long non-coding RNA (MESC_LNC006356)
Source: RNAcentral
CCUUCACAAGCUUGGGAGCAUAUCAGUAUGGAUUUCAUUGAACAAUUGCUUCGAUCAAGGGGCAAGGAUACUGUGCUAUUGGUGAUUUGCAGAUUCUCUAAGUAUGCACACUUUAUUCUCUUAACUCAUCCUUUUUCUGCUAGAGACGUUGCCACAUUUUUCUUGGAUUUUGUGGCCAAAUUAAAUGGAGUUCCUCUGUCUAUUGUCUCUAAUAGGGAUAAAGUAUUUAUUAGCUUAUUUUGGAAGGAGCUUUUUAAAUUAUUGAGCACUAAACUCUGCUAUAGUUAAGCUUACCAUCCUCAAAAGUGAUGGUCAAUUUGAAAGACUCAAUCAAUGUUUAGAGGGAUAAUUAUGCAGCAUGAAUUUUAUGGCACCUUCCAAAUGGCUUAAGUGGCUUUUCUUGACUGAGUGGUGGUACAAUACUUCCCACCACAGUGCUAUUGGCAUAUCUCCUUUUGAAGAUCUAUAUGGCUACCCUCCACCCUCCUUGGCCUUACUUCCCUCACUGGAUGCUUCAAUAGCUUGUGUUUUUUAUUUCCUUCAAAAGGGACAAGCCAUUACUUAACUAUUAAAAAGCUACCUUCCACCCCCCUUGGCCUUACUUCCCUCACUGGAUACUCCAGUAGCUUCUGUUUUUUAUAUCCUUCAAAAGAGACAAGCCAUUACUCAACUAUUAAAAAGCAACCUGCUGGUUGCUCCGUUGAGAAUGAAGCAACAAGCAGACAAGAAGAGGACUAAAAGGGUAUUUGAAAUGGGAGAUUGGGUGUUUUUGAAGUUUCAACCCUACAGACAGACUUCUAUAGCUGUGAGGAAAUCCCUUAAGCUUUCAACCAAGUGUUAUGGUCCUUUUCAAAUAAUUGCCUAGGUUGGCUCAGUGUCCUAUAAAUUGCCACUUCCCCCUAAUUCUACCAUACAUCCAGUCUUCCAUUUUUCUUUGUUGAAAAAAAAAGCUCGGAGAUGCUAUUACUCUACAAGACUUACCAGUGAUGGCCAAUGAAGAAUUGGUAGUUGCUCCGGACUAUUUUGAGACAAGGGAAGAAAGUGCUUCAAGGCCUAGUUAAAUGGGUCAAUUUUCCUAUUGAAGAUGCUACUUGGAAAGAUCAAGCUCUCCUUUCAGCUCAAUUUCCAGAUUUAUCGUCUUCUUGGGGACAAGAAGGCGAUCAAGGGGAGGGUAUUGUUGUGUAUCGCUGAAAGAGAGAGUAAGUAGAAUUGGAGGGAAGCCUAAGGGUAGUUUGGUGUUAUUUGCAUAAGGUAGUUAUAGCAGCCGGAAGUUGUUAUCCAGCUGUAUUCUGUUAUAGAAACAAAAUAUAUAGAGAGGAACCACACUUGUAGAUAGGCAUCCAGAAAAUAGCUAAUACAAUACAAUGUCAAUUCCUCUCUAGUUCUAUUCUUUCUAUUCUCUCUUCUUACUUGCUUCUCUAUCUUUCUUCUUCUUCUUCUCUCUCGAAUCCUACUUAAUAUAUUGUUUGGCAGACUGCCACAGCACAAUCCUUUCCUUUGUUUUUUAUUAAUUGCAGGGGAAACUGCCAAUUUAAUUCUGUCGGUUACAAAAUUUUGCAAUUCUACCUUGAACUUUAAAAAUAACCAAUUAAACCCUAUACUCUGAAUAUUUUGAUAAUUGUAUCCUACCGUCUAUUUAGCCGUUAAUGAAAAAAAGUCACAUCAUGUGCCACGUGUGUAUACCACAUAAUACAAUAUAAUUACCAAAAAGACCUUAUGCUUUUUAAAUCAUUACAAUUUCACCAUAUGCUUUGAAAAUAACUAAUUAAACCCUAUAGUUUGAGCAUUUAACCAAUUAUAUCCCAC